Molecule: ribosomal RNA, 261 nt
Filed under: uncultured Glomus
Lineage: Eukaryota; Fungi; Glomeromycota; Glomeromycetes; Glomerales; Glomeraceae
Description: partial 18S ribosomal RNA
Rfam family: Eukaryotic small subunit ribosomal RNA
Source: RNAcentral
AAGCUCGUAGUUGAAUUUCGGGGUUAGUAGGUUGGUCAUGCCUCUGGUAUGUACUGGUCUCACUGAUUCCUCCUUCCUUAUGAACCGUAAUGCCAUUAAUUUGGUGUUGCGGGGGAAUUUGGACUGUUACUUUGAAAAAACUUAGAGUGUUUAAAGCAAGCUAACGCUUGAAUACAUUAGCAUGGAAUAAUGAAAUAGGACGUUCGAUCUUAUUUUAGUUGGUUUCUAGGAUUGACGUAAUGAUUAAUAGGGAUAGUUGGG